This 371-nucleotide ribosomal RNA is filed under the name uncultured bacterium. Its description in RNAcentral is "bacterial SSU rRNA". It matches the Rfam family "Bacterial small subunit ribosomal RNA", at positions 990 to 1362 of the family's 1533-position model. The record is from RNAcentral.
AUGAACAACAUGUGAAAGCAUGCGACUCUUCGGAGGCGUUACACAGGUGCUGCAUGGCCGUCGUCAGCUCGUGUCGUGAGAUGUUUGGUUAAGUCCAGCAACGAGCGCAACCCCUGUUGCCAGUUACCAGCACGUGAAGGUGGGGACUCUGGCGAGACUGCCCAGAUCAACUGGGAGGAAGGUGGGGACGACGUCAGGUCAGUAUGGCCCUUAUGCCCAGGGCUGCACACGUACUACAAUGCCCAGUACAGAGGGGGCCGAAGCCGCGAGGCGGAGGAAAUCCUAAAAACUGGGCCCAGUUCGGACUGUAGGCUGCAACCCGCCUACACGAAGCCGGAAUCGCUAGUAAUGGCGCAUCAGCUACGGCGCCG